GAUGAACGCUGGCGGCGUGCUUAACACAUGCAGGUCGAACGGCAAGGCUCCUGCUUGCAGGGGUACUCGAGUGGCGAACGGGUGAGUAACACGUGGGUGAUCUGCCCUGCACUUCGGGAUAAGCCUGGGAAACUGGGUCUAAUACCGGAUAGGACGAUGGUUUGGAUGCCAUUGUUGAAAGUUUUUUCGGUGUGGGAUGGGCUCGCGGCCUAUCAGCUUGUUGGUGGGGUAAUGGCCUACCAAGGCGUCGACGGGUAGCCGGCCUGAGAGGGUGUACGGCCACAUUGGGACUGAGAUACGGCGCAGACUCCUACGGGAGGCAGCAGUGGGGAAUAUUGCACAAUGGGCGCAAGCCUGAUGCAGCGACGCCGCGUGGGGGAUGACGGCCUUCGGGUUGUAAACUCCUUUCGCUAGGGACGAAGCGCAAGUGACGGUACCUGGAGAAGAAGCACCGGCUAACUACGUG
RNAcentral lists this ribosomal RNA (466 nucleotides) under uncultured bacterium. RNAcentral describes it as "partial 16S ribosomal RNA". It matches the Rfam family "Bacterial small subunit ribosomal RNA", at positions 28 to 507 of the family's 1533-position model. The record is from RNAcentral.